GCGAGGGUCGCCCAGUCCGGUCAAAGGCGUUAGCUUCAGGGGCUAAUCCCGAAGGGGUUCGUGGGUUCAAAUCCCAUCCCUCGCACCA
This 88-nucleotide transfer RNA is filed under the name Candidatus Methanoperedens sp. RNAcentral's name for it is "tRNA-Leu". It matches the Rfam family "tRNA". From Rfam's summary of the family: Transfer RNA (tRNA) molecules are approximately 80 nucleotides in length. Their secondary structure includes four short double-helical elements and three loops (D, anti-codon, and T loops). Further hydrogen bonds mediate the characteristic L-shaped molecular structure. tRNAs have two regions of fundamental functional importance: the anti-codon, which is responsible for specific mRNA codon recognition, and the 3' end, to which the tRNAs corresponding amino acid is attached (by aminoacyl-tRNA synthetases). tRNAs cope with the degeneracy of the genetic code in two manners: having more than one tRNA (with a specific anti-codon) for a particular amino acid; and 'wobble' base-pairing, i.e. permitting non-standard base-pairing at the 3rd anti-codon position. The record is from RNAcentral. RNAcentral also lists the same sequence under 1 other name. Lineage: Archaea; Methanobacteriati; Methanobacteriota; Methanomicrobia; Methanosarcinales; Candidatus Methanoperedentaceae.